Molecule: ribosomal RNA, 1527 nt
Filed under: metagenome
Description: bacterial LSU rRNA
Rfam family: Bacterial large subunit ribosomal RNA
Source: RNAcentral
CCUGUGAGGGGCCGUGGAGGUAUCGGAAGUGCGAAUGAUGACAUGAGUAGCGACAAAAAGUGUGAAGACACUUUCGCCGAAAGUCCAAGGGUUCCUGCGCAAUGCUAAUCAGCGCAGGGUUAGUCGGCCCCUAAGGUGAGGCAGAAAUGCGUAGCCGAUGGGAAUCACGUUAAUAUUCGUGAACCAGAUGGUAGUGACGGAUCGCGCAGGUUCGUAUCCCCUUAUUGGAUUGGGGGUGCGAUGAGCCGGUUCCUGGAAAUAGCUCCAUCGAUAUUGACCGUACCCUAAACCGACACAGGUGGACUGGUAGAGUAUACCAAGGCGCUUGAGAGAACUAUACUGAAGGAACUCGGCAAAUUGCAUGCGUAACUUCGGGAUAAGCAUGACUUCUAUCGGGGCAACCCUUUAGGAGUGGCACAAAAGAGGGGGUGGCGACUGUUUACUAAAAACACAGGGCUCUGCGAAGAUGUAAAUCGACGUAUAGGGUCUGACGCCUGCCCGGUGCCGGAAGGUUAAAUGGAGAGGUGCAAGCUUUGAAAUGAAGCCCCGGUAAACGGCGGCCGUAACCAUAACGGUCCUAAGGUAGCGAAAUUCCUUGUCGGGUAAGUUCCGACCUGCACGAAUGGCGUAACGACUUCCCCACUGUCUCCAGUAUAGACUCAGCGAAAUUGAAUUCCCCGUGAAGAUGCGGGGUUCCUGCGGUCAGACGGAAAGACCCCAUGCACCUUUACUAUAGCUUUACGCUGGCAUUUGUGUCGGCAUGUGCAGGAUAGGUGGUAGGCUUUGAAGCAGGGACGCUAGUUCUUGUGGAGCCGCAAGAUGAGAUGCCACCCUUAUCGUCAUAGAUGUCUAACCGCGGCAUAACAGUGUCCGGGACAGCGUAUGGUGGGUAGUUUGACUGGGGCGGUCGCCUCCCAAAGAGUAACGGAGGCGCGCGAUGGUGGGCUCAGACCGGUCGGAAAUCGGUCGCUGAGUGCAAUGGCAUAAGCCUGCCUGACUGCGAGACUGACAAGUCGAGCAGAGACGAAAGUCGGUCAUAGUGAUCCGGUGGUCCCGCGUGGAAGGGCCAUCGCUCAACGAAUAAAAGGUACGCUGGGGAUAACAGGCUGAUGAUGCCCAAGAGUCCAUAUCGACGGCAUCGUUUGGCACCUCGAUGUCGGCUCAUCACAUCCUGGGGCUGGAGCAGGUCCCAAGGGUAUGGCUGUUCGCCAUUUAAAGUGGUACGUGAGCUGGGUUUAGAACGUCGUGAGACAGUUCGGUCCCUAUCUGCCGUGGGUGUAGGAAUAUUGAGAAUCUGACCCUAGUACGAGAGGACCGGGUUGGACGAACCUCUGGUGGACCUGUUGUGGCGCCAGCCGCAUUGCAGGGUAGCUAAGUUCGGACGGGAUAACUGCUGAAAGCAUCUAAGCAGGAAGCCUCCUUCAAAACUAGUAUUCCCUUGAGAGCCGUGGAAGACCACCACGUCGAUAGGCCGGGUGUGGAAGCGUAGCAAUAUGUGAAGCUUACCGGUACUAAUAGCUCGAUUGC